RNAcentral lists this ribosomal RNA (356 nucleotides) under uncultured Sphingobacteriales bacterium. RNAcentral's name for it is "bacterial SSU rRNA". It matches the Rfam family "Bacterial small subunit ribosomal RNA", at positions 1026 to 1382 of the family's 1533-position model. The record is from RNAcentral. Lineage: Bacteria; Pseudomonadati; Bacteroidota; Sphingobacteriia; Sphingobacteriales.
ACAAUAUACAAGGUGCUGCAUGGUUGUCGUCAGCUCGUGCCGUGAGGUGUCGGGUUAAGUCCCAUACGAGCGCAACCCCUAUCCAUUAGUUGUCCAUCAGGUCAAGCUGGGGACUCUAAUGAAACUGCCUACGCAAGUAGUGAGGAAGUGGGGAUGACGUCAAAUCAGCACGGCCCUUACGUCCAGGGCUACACACGUGCUACAAUGGCCGGUACAAAGGGCAGCUACCUGGUGACAGGAUGCUAAUCUCAAAAGCCGGUCUCAGUUCGGAUCGGAGUCUGCAACCCGACUCCGUGAAGCUGGAAUCGCUAGUAAUCGUGGAUCAGCAUGCCACGGUGAAUACGUUCCCGGGCCUU